Molecule: ribosomal RNA, 1458 nt
Filed under: uncultured Bordetella sp.
Lineage: Bacteria; Pseudomonadati; Pseudomonadota; Betaproteobacteria; Burkholderiales; Alcaligenaceae
Description: partial 16S-23S ribosomal RNA intergenic spacer
Rfam family: Bacterial small subunit ribosomal RNA
Source: RNAcentral
CUGGGGUUUGAUUAUGGCUCAGAUUGAACAUGGCUGGAUGCUUUACAUGCAAGUCGAACAGCAGCCUGGACUUCGGUCUGGUGGCGAGUGGCGAACGGGUGAGGUAAUGUCGGAACGUGCCUAGUAGCGGGGAUAACUACGCGAAAGCGUAGCUAUUACCAUACGCCCUUCGGAAAAGCGGGGGACCUUCGGGCCUCGCACUAUUAGAGCGGCCGAUAUCGGAUUGGCUAGUUGGUGGGUAGCGAUAUAGGCGACGAUCAUCGCUGGUUUGAGAGGACGACCAGCCACACUGGACUGGACCACGGCCAGACUCUACGGGAGGCAGCAGUGGGGAAUUUUGGACAAUAGGAAACCUGAUCAGCGCUCCGCGUGUGCGAUGAAGGCCUUCGGGUUGUAAAGCACUUUUGGCAGGAAAAGAAACGGCACGGGAUAGUACCCCGUGCAACUGACGGUACCUGCAGAAUAAGCACCGGCCUAACUACGUGCUGGCAACCGCGGUAAUACGUAGGGUGCAAGCGUUAAUCGGAAUUACUGGGCGUAAAGCGUGCGCAGGCGGUUCAGGAAGAAAGAUGUGAAAUCCCAGAGCUUAACUUUGGAACUGCAUUUUUAACUACCGAGCUAGAGUGUGUCAGAGGAGGUGGAAUUCCGCGUCUGGCAACGGUGAAAUGCGUGAAUAUGGAGAACACGAUGGCGAAGGCAGCUCCUGGGAUAACACCCAGGAAAGCGCUCAUGCACAGCGUGGGGAGCAAACAGGAUUAGAUACCCUGGUAGUCCACGCCUAACGAUGUCAACUAGCUGUUGGGGCCUUCGGGCCUUGGUAUACAGCUAACGUGAAGUUGACCGCCUGCCAAGUACGGUCGCAAGAUUAAAACUCAAAGGAAUUGACGGGGACCGCACAAGCAGUGGAUGAAUGUGGAUUAAUUCGAUGCAACGCGAAAAACCUUACCUACCCUUGACAUGUCUGGAAUGCCGAAGAGAUUUGGCGGUGCUCGCAAGAGAACCGGAACACGGGUGCUGCUGUGGCUGUCGUCAGCUCGUGUCGUGAGAUGUUGGGUUAAGUCCGCAACGAGCGCAACCCUUGUCGUUAGUUUGCUACGAAGGGCACUCUAAUGGGACUGCCGGUACAAGCCGGAGGAAGGUGGGGAUGACGUCAAGUCCUCAUGGCCCUAUGGGUAGGGCUUCACACGUCACCUGAUAGGUCGGGACAGAAGGUGCUCAACCGCGAGGGGCCAGUCGAAACCCCGAUCAAUGGGCUCCGGAUGCAGUCACAACUCGACUGCGUGAAGUCAGAAUCACUAGUAAUCGCGGAUCAGCAUGUCGCGGUGAAUACGUUCCCGGGUCUUGUACUUCCCGUCACACCAUGGGGGUGGGUUUUUGCAGAAGUAGUUAGCCUAACCGCAAGGGGAGCGAUUACCGUUUUAUUAGGAUUCGCUAUUAGGUGAAGUCGUAACAAGGUAA